AGCGAACGCUGGCGGCAGGCCUAACACAUGCAAGUCGAGCGCCCGUAGCAAUACGGGAGCGGCAGACGGGAGAGUAACACGUGGGAACGUACCCUUCAGUUCGGAACAACCCAGGGAAACUUGGGCUAAUACCGAAUACGUCCGUAAGGAGAAAGAUUUAUCGCUGAAGGAUCGGCCCGCGUCUGAUUAGCUAGUUGGUGAGGUAACGGCUCACCAAGGCGACGAUCAGUAGCUGGUCUGAGAGGAUGAUCAGCCUCACUGGGACUGAGACACGGCCCAGACUCCUACGGGAGGCAG
RNAcentral lists this ribosomal RNA (297 nucleotides) under uncultured Pseudomonadota bacterium. RNAcentral describes it as "uncultured proteobacterium partial 16S ribosomal RNA". It matches the Rfam family "Bacterial small subunit ribosomal RNA", at positions 29 to 351 of the family's 1533-position model. The record is from RNAcentral. Lineage: Bacteria; Pseudomonadati; Pseudomonadota.